UGGGGAAUAUUGGGCAAUGGGCGAAAGCCUGACCCAGCGACGCCGCGUGGGUGAUGAAGGCCUUCGGGUUGUAAAGCCCUUUCGUGCGGAACGAACAGUCUCGCGACUAAUACUCGCGGGAUUUGACGGUACCGCAGGAAGAAGCACCGGCUAACUCCGUGCCAGCAGCCGCGGUAAUACGGAGGGUGCAAGCGUUGUUCGGAAUUACUGGGCGUAAAGGGCGCGCAGGCGGUUGUGCAAGUCAGUUGCGAAAUCCCCCGGCUUAACCGGGGAACUGCAUCUGAAACUGCAUGACUCGAGUACAGAAGAGGGAAACGGAAUUCCCGGUGUAGAGGUGAAAUUCGUAGAUAUCGGGAGGAACACCAGUGGCGAAGGCGGUUUCCUGGUCUGAUACUGACGCUGAGGCGCGAAAGCGUGGGGAGCAAACAG
RNAcentral lists this ribosomal RNA (429 nucleotides) under uncultured bacterium. RNAcentral's name for it is "bacterial SSU rRNA". It matches the Rfam family "Bacterial small subunit ribosomal RNA", at positions 355 to 775 of the family's 1533-position model. The record is from RNAcentral.